RNAcentral lists this long non-coding RNA (630 nucleotides) under Nicotiana benthamiana. RNAcentral describes it as "long non-coding RNA (NBEN_LNC032122)". The record is from RNAcentral. Lineage: Eukaryota; Viridiplantae; Streptophyta; Magnoliopsida; Solanales; Solanaceae.
ACUCAUCUUCCUCAUACUGAACUUGUAACACUGCCGGAGCCGCUGCCAGCAGUGAACGUUACCACCUUCAAACCACCCCAAAUUAACACCACGUGAUCUUCUUUUCUCCCUCGUCUCAAAUCUACAAACAGCUCCGUUCAGAACCCAGCCUAACCCUUCGAAUAUUUGUCCGCAGUUUUCUGGCCACGACAUCACUUUUUGCAAAUGGCAAUAUAUUAACACCGUAGGGUCGCCUGAGUCUCCUCUACCCAACCCUCCUAACCUCGUCCCUCGAAUUCGGAAAUGCUCAAAUGUCAAUUUUUAAUUUUCCAACCAAAAUCCUAGGUGCUCUGAAAUGAUUCAAAUGGGUGCUACAAGGUCCUCGUGCUUCCUUAGUAAGGUUUCUACUAUUGUUAGCACUCGAAGUUCACCAGACGGGGUUGAGUUGAGACUGUGAGACGUGGCCAGGUUUUACUGAGUUAUUUUUUUCUUUUGAUUAAUAUUUAAUUUUUGUUUGUUUUGCAUGUGAUUAAUGAAUGUUUGCAAGUUAAUUUUCGCUUCUUUCUUAGUUUUAAUCGUUUUUAAUCAUUUUUGCUUCUUAGUUGAUGGUAAUUAGUUAAAAUCAAUUGAUUCAUGUCUGUUAUCUGUUCA